RNAcentral lists this transfer RNA (73 nucleotides) under Cordylochernes scorpioides. RNAcentral describes it as "tRNA-Thr". It matches the Rfam family "tRNA". Rfam says of the family: Transfer RNA (tRNA) molecules are approximately 80 nucleotides in length. Their secondary structure includes four short double-helical elements and three loops (D, anti-codon, and T loops). Lineage: Eukaryota; Metazoa; Arthropoda; Arachnida; Pseudoscorpiones; Chernetidae. The record is from RNAcentral.
UCCAGGGUAGCCUAGUGGAUAUCGCAUCUGCCCGGUAAGUGGAACGUUGUGGGUUCGAUUCCCGCCCCUGGAC